This is a non-coding RNA of Caretta caretta (loggerhead turtle), 348 nucleotides long. Lineage: Eukaryota; Metazoa; Chordata; Testudines; Cheloniidae. The record is from the annotation of a RefSeq genome assembly.
AUGACUACUUAUCUCAGUGAUAUUUACGAGGGUGCUGUGUGGGGCAAUUCCAUCCAAUCCAUUGAACCCGACGUGUCUGUCACAGAAGGAGGCGCUGUGGCAGUCAGCUGCUCCUACAGCACCGGCUAUAGCGGUGUCUCUCUCCACUGGUACCGCCAGAGCCCCAGCCAAGCCCCGCAGUACAUUCUCCAGAGAGGCGCGAAGGGAAGCACCAUCAGUGACCACGCAGAUUUUGCCCGGAGGAGGUUCACUGCUGACGCUAACGCGACUGCUACAGUUCUGACCAUCUCAGGCCUGGAGCUGGCGGACGAAGCUGUGUAUUAUUGUGCCUUGAAUGAGACACAGUGA